RNAcentral lists this long non-coding RNA (849 nucleotides) under Salvia miltiorrhiza (redroot sage). RNAcentral's name for it is "long non-coding RNA (SMIL_LNC005529)". Lineage: Eukaryota; Viridiplantae; Streptophyta; Magnoliopsida; Lamiales; Lamiaceae. The record is from RNAcentral.
ACCAUCUAUAAAUAUAACCUCACAAACUAUCACAAUACGAAUUCCACCUAUCACAAUACGAAUUCCAUAGCCAAAAAAUCGAUCUCCACAAAAAUCAUUCUCAUUUUUUCAUUUUACGUUGAAAUGGCUCCUUUGUUCGGCGUCAUCAAGGAAUUGGAACCGGGAAAGAGCAAGAUCGCAUUGCAAUUGCGCUUGAUAAGAAGUUAUGACAUCUUCAAGUUCAACAACAGAUCUGAAACAUUUUCUCAUGAGUGUGUGUUCCAUGAUAAAGAGGUACUCACUCAAUACACUAUUUUUUUAUAUUUUCGAAAAUUUCAAAUAUCAUACUAAAAUUUUUUGUUUAUUUUUACAGGGCGAUCGAAUCCAUGCCACAAUUAAUACUUCAUCACUACAGCAAAUUAAGCCACUCCUCACAGAAGGACAUGUUUAUGCAAUCAAGGAUUUUGUUAUCACCAACAACACCAUGAAAUACAAAACCACAGAGUCACAAUAUAAGCUUUUAUUGUUCAAGCACACAAGAGUUGUAGAACUCGAUGAUGAUACAUUCCCAAAUCACACAUUCAACAUCAAGAAUUUUGGAGAAAUUUCUUCUAUUUCUGACGUCCAGAAUGUGGUCAUGUUUGGUAAAAACUUUUCAGUCAUUUUAUUUUAAUUAUUAUCAUCUUAUGAAUUUUAAUUUCAAAUUUAUAUUGUAGAUAUCAUGGGAAUCGUAGUUUCAAGUUAUCAGCCAAUAAUCAAAGAUUUCAAUGGACAGCAAACAAAGCUUAUGGAUAUCAUCAUAGAAGAUUUGGAGUAAUAUUUAUUAUACUUUCAAUUAUGUUAAUUGCAUAAAUAAAAUACCUCAAUAUA